CCUAGGCUAAGAGAGGAGGGAGGCCCGCCCUUAUAAGUGCAACACGACCCCCUUGGCUAGGCGAGGUGGUACUAACCCAGGGCGUGCAUACCGGUCCCUUACAUCCCACCCCCCUAAGAGGCCCAAAGCUCUUCCAGGCAGCAGCGGCAAUGUAGGCUCCGAUACCAAUUGUAACGCACCCACUGGGCCAGUCCGCCUAAAGCCCACCAUCGCCAGCGUCGGACGUUCAUGCGCUCGUGCGCAGCCUAUUCAGACGGGCACCUCGCUCUCAAAACCUAGGCUGAGAGAGGAGGGAGGCCCGCCCUUAUAAGUGCAACACGACCCCCUUGGCUAGGCG
Molecule: long non-coding RNA, 337 nt
Filed under: Zea mays
Lineage: Eukaryota; Viridiplantae; Streptophyta; Magnoliopsida; Poales; Poaceae
Description: long non-coding RNA (ZMAY_LNC001198)
Source: RNAcentral